RNAcentral lists this transfer RNA (659 nucleotides) under uncultured cyanobacterium. Its description in RNAcentral is "partial miscellaneous RNA". The stretch from base 259 to 331 matches the Rfam family "tRNA". The record is from RNAcentral. Lineage: Bacteria; Bacillati; Cyanobacteriota.
CAGGGAGACAAAACUGAUUAUGAUGUCUGAUUAAAAUAUUAGGCCUUAAUCCUGUCACCUUAGGUCGAUCGGUACCUCAGAUUGAUGACUAGAAAAAUAGGAUUAACUUCUUACUAUUUGGUUUUCAGUUUUAGUUCCUAAACUUGUCUAGGUCACACCCAACAAACUUUCUCCUGGGCUAUUAGCUCAGGCGGUUAGAGCGCACCCCUGAUAAGGGUGAGGUCCCUGGUUCAAGUCCAGGAUGGCCCAUUCGUUGUUGGGGGUAUAGCUCAGUUGGUAGAGCGCCUGCUUUGCAAGCAGGAUGUCAGCGGUUCGAGUCCGCUUACCUCCACUGAUCAACUACCUGAUAACUCAAUUUGGAGAUUGUUAUUUGGUUAAUGUGAUUUAGACGUUGUUCAUCUGAAUGAACCUAGCUUCCUGUCAAUCUUUAAUAGAUUUUAUUGGCUGAUAAGACGCUGGGCUCACUGAUAAGCUAAGUAUUAUCAGUUUGAUUCAGUAGAACCUUGACAACUGCAUAGGAAAAUCUAGAGAAAUAAAGCAUCUCAUAGAUACAUAGGACUUGUUAUUUAUAGAUUUUGAAUAUCAAGUUUCUUUGUUAAAUUCUUGAGUUAGAGCGUAAUGCACCUUCAUUUAACAAAAAAAGUAGGUGCAUUUAAUUU